This 103-nucleotide non-coding RNA is filed under the name Desulfobacteraceae bacterium. RNAcentral describes it as "TPP sequence". It matches the Rfam family "TPP riboswitch aptamer (THI element)". From Rfam's summary of the family: Vitamin B(1) in its active form thiamin pyrophosphate (TPP) is an essential coenzyme that is synthesised by coupling of pyrimidine and thiazole moieties in bacteria. The previously detected thiamin-regulatory element, thi box was extended, resulting in a new, highly conserved RNA secondary structure, the THI element, which is widely distributed in eubacteria and also occurs in some archaea. The record is from RNAcentral. Lineage: Bacteria; Pseudomonadati; Thermodesulfobacteriota; Desulfobacteria; Desulfobacterales; Desulfobacteraceae.
AAUUGUCGCUAGGGGUGGUUCCACUGAGAGCUGGAUCAAAGUCCUGCAACCCUUAGAACCUGAACUGGCUAAUACCAGCGGAGGAAAGCGGCGCGAUUGUGUA